CCUCCCUCCCUCUCGCCGCUCCGCGUCACUCACCGCUUCUCUUCCACUUCCAGCCCACAGCCCAUCCAUCGCCCCCUUGUACCUCUCGCGCGCCCGCGGCCGCCCGCGAUGAGAUAGACGCAGGCUCGAGCGAGAGGAGCGCGCAGGCCCCCCCCCCCCCCCCCCCCACCGCAUGCUAGAGCAGGACGACGGGAGGCAACGAGGGGAGGAGGAUGGCGCUGGGCGUGGUGUUCCACGGCGCGCAGCUGGCGCUGGAUCUGGCGGUGGCCGGGAUGUCGCUGGCGGUCGCGCUCGGCUUCUUCGCUCUCGUCACCGCCGUGCUCUGCUCCGCCGCGUUCCUCCACCACUCCAAGCCCGCCGCGGCGUCCUAGCCGUCGGCCGCUGCUACGCCACUACCGCCGCCGCAACCUCUGGGGAAGGAGGUGCUUCAACCGAUGCCAAGGCUGCUUUAGGGCACUUGCAGAUGCAAAGAAUAGUUGAUUUUGUACACUCCAGGUGAUAGCUAGAUGCUCUUGUACCACAUAUGUAUGUUUCCUUAUGCUGAUUUGUAAAUUAGAUGUUUGCACUGUAGAUUUUGUAAUUGCUGUUUCUCAGGACUAUUGAAAAUUGUUACAUCUCAUAAUUAGUAUGUGCAUUGUUUAAUGCAUACGUUGAACAACCAAAAAGAUUGCGACAAUUGAGUUCUUGUGUGAAUGGUUCAUUUGCAAUAUGAAUAUUUAUCGCCUUUUAAAAAAAAUAAUAUUUCUCGCUUUUAUAGAUUGUAUUAUUAACUCACUCACUCUGUCUCUCUCUCUUCUCUCCCUUGUCCCUUUGCAACCACAUACAGACAUUUCAAACUCUACACAUACUAGGAGCAGUAGAAAGCAACCACAAAUAGAUAACAGCCUGCAAAGUAUAUCUGGACAUAGAGUUAUCCGUUAAUAUCUAUAUAAAUACAUGCAUUUUUUAAUAUGAUACUAGGAGGAUGGUAAGAAUAUCUAAGGGGUACAAUAUGUGCCCAAGCUCCCAAAAGCCUUGCAUUCCCCAUGCUUCUACAAGGAUAUUAGCUAGAUGAUAGUGGUUGAGAGACAUCCUACUAGGAUAUUACAGUGUUUACCAAAAGAAGCCUGUUCUUGACGAACUACGUCUCUUGUUGUGGCUUCUUCUAGUGGUCUUAUCUUCUCCUUUCUUCAUCUUGCCUGCUUUUUUGUCACAGCUGGUCGGGAGCUUGGUAUGCAUCUCCUCUUGCUCAACGUUACCAUGCUCAUCUCUGAUACUGUCAUUUUUAUCAUGAUCUUUCUUUUCUUUGCCAUUACGACUCUUCACUUGAGCUGGUCCUGUGGAAGCAUCGGAAGCCAAGGAAUCAUAAUCCCCAUCAUCAUAAUCUGCAUCGGGUUUGCUUCUACCAUUGCUGCAGAGACUUUCAACAUUACUUCCUUCGGUUUCAUUGGAUUUGACAUCAUCAACACUCACCGGGGAGCCCAGAGACACAGAAAGAGAAGCCAAAGACAACACAAAGAAAGAAGAUGAGACUACAAAACAAGCAAAGGAACACACGCUAAUGCUUCACAACAUCGGACAGUCCAACAUCCAAGUCCGAGAAGAGCACCAAAGCCUCUCCCUCUCCCCCCUCCCCCUCCCUCUCCCUCUCCUUCUCUCAACAGCUAACCAUCUUCACAGGGCAGGCAAUGCAGAGGGGUUGAAUUGCGUGAUGCUAAGAACUUUGCAAGGGGUGGUUGCUUGUGUCUCUGUGUGGAGGCUUGUCAUGGGGCUGCACGCUGCAGAAAGGAUGGCAGUGCCUUUAAAUGGGAAAGGCGGCCUAUCCUUCCAACUGUUUCUCAUAACUUUGUCAACUAUUUCUGUACCUUUUGUUGCUACCAAAGCCAGGUGUAAAACAUUUGCUUGCAAUUGCAGUGUUCCAGGUAUUUCCAUGUGUAGUCCAUGUGGCCUUGGCCUCUCACCUCAUGGUGGGGGCCUGGCAGGG
Panicum virgatum (switchgrass) is the source of this 1963-nucleotide long non-coding RNA. RefSeq lists it as uncharacterized. The record is from RefSeq and is a predicted model, not a curated record. NCBI's taxonomy places the organism in Eukaryota, Viridiplantae, Streptophyta, Magnoliopsida, Poales, Poaceae. The transcript is spliced from 3 exons.